This 460-nucleotide ribosomal RNA is filed under the name uncultured bacterium. RNAcentral describes it as "partial 16S ribosomal RNA". It matches the Rfam family "Bacterial small subunit ribosomal RNA", at positions 338 to 795 of the family's 1533-position model. The record is from RNAcentral.
CCUACGGGAGGCAGCAGUGAGGAAUAUUGGUCAAUGGGCGGGAGCCUGAACCAGCCAAGUCGCGUGAGGGAAGACGGUCCUAUGGAUUGUAAACCUCUUUAGGCGGGGAGCAAUGCCGGGCACGUGUGCCCGGAGGGAGAGUACCCGCAGAAUAAGCAUCGGCAAACUCCGUGCCAGCAGCCGCGGUAAUACGGAGGAUGCGAGCGUUAUCCGGAUUGAUUGGGUUUAAAGGGUGCGUAGGCGGAUUUUUAAGUCAGCGGUAAAAUGUCCGGGCUCAACCCGGGCCGGCCGUUGAAACUGGGGAUCUUGAGUGGGCGAGAAGUAUGCGGAAUGCGUGGUGUAGCGGUGAAAUGCAUAGAUAUCACGCAGAACUCCGAUUGCGAAGGCAGCAUACCGGCGCCCGACUGACGCUGAGGCACGAAAGCGUGGGGAUCGAACAGGAUUAGAUACCCUGGUAGUC